RNAcentral lists this ribosomal RNA (492 nucleotides) under uncultured bacterium. Its description in RNAcentral is "partial 16S ribosomal RNA". It matches the Rfam family "Bacterial small subunit ribosomal RNA", at positions 29 to 507 of the family's 1533-position model. The record is from RNAcentral.
AGUGAACGCUGGCGGUAGGCCUAACACAUGCAAGUCGAACGGCAGCACAGUAAGAGCUUGCUCUUACGGGUGGCGAGUGGCGGACGGGUGAGGAAUACAUCGGAAUCUACUUUUUCGUGGGGGAUAACGUAGGGAAACUUACGCUAAUACCGCAUACGACCUACGGGUGAAAGCAGGGGAUCUUCGGACCUUGCGCGAUUGAAUGAGCCGAUGUCGGAUUAGCUAGUUGGCGGGGUAAAGGCCCACCAAGGCGACGAUCCGUAGCUGGUCUGAGAGGAUGAUCAGCCACACUGGAACUGAGACACGGUCCAGAGGCCUACGGGAGGCAGCAGUGGGGAAUAUUGGACAAUGGGCGGAAGCCUGAUCCAGCCAUACCGCGUGGGUGAAGAAGGCCUUCGGGUUGUAAAGCCCUUUUGUUGGGAAAGAAAAGCAGCAGGUUAAUACCCCGCUGUUCUGACGGUACCCAAAGAAUAAGCACCGGCUAACUUCGUG